GAUGAACGCUGGCGGCGUGCCUAAUACAUGCAAGUCGAGCGAACAGACGAGGAGCUUGCUCCUUUGACGUUAGCGGCGGACGGGUGAGUAACACGUAGGUAACCUACCUAUAAGACUGGGAUAACUUCGGGAAACCGGAGCUAAUACCGGAUAAUAUUUCGAACCGCAUGGUUCGAUAGUGAAAGAUGGCUUUGCUAUCACUUAUAGAUGGACCUGCGCCGUAUUAGCUGGUUGGUAAGGUAACGGCUUACCAAGGCAACGAUACGUAGCCGACCUGAGAGGGUGAUCGGCCACACUGGAACUGAGACACGGUCCAGACUCCUACGGGAGGCAGCAGUAGGGAAUCUUCCGCAAUGGGCGAAAGCCUGACGGAGCAACGCCGCGUGAGUGAUGAAGGUCUUCGGAUCGUAAAACUCUGUUAUUAGGGAAGAACAAACGUGUAAGUAACUGUGCACGUCUUGACGGUACCUAAUCAGAAAGCCACGGCUAACUACGUG
This 497-nucleotide ribosomal RNA is filed under the name uncultured bacterium. Its description in RNAcentral is "partial 16S ribosomal RNA". It matches the Rfam family "Bacterial small subunit ribosomal RNA", at positions 28 to 507 of the family's 1533-position model. The record is from RNAcentral.